CCUACGGGAGGCAGCAGUGGGGGAUAUUGCACAAUGGGGGGAACCCUGAUGCAGCGACGCCGCGUGGGUGAAGAAGCGCCUCGGCGCGUAAAGCUCUGUCAGCAGGGAAGAAAAUGACGGUACCUGAAGAAGAAGCCCCGGCUAACUACGUGCCAGCAGCCGCGGUAAUACGUAGGGGGCAGGCGUUAUCCGGAUUUACUGGGUGUAAAGGGGGCGCAGACGGCGAUGCAAGCCAGGAGUGAAAGCUCGGGGCCCAACCCCGGGACUGCUCUUGGAACUGCGUGGCUGGAGUGCAGAAGGGGAAGGCGGAAUUCCUGGUGUAGCGGUGAAAUGCGUAGAUAUCAUGAGGAACACCGGUGGCGAAGGCGGCCGGCUGGAGUGCAACUGACGCUGAGGCCCGAAAGCGUGGGGAGCAAACAGGAUUAGAUACCCUGGUAGUC
This 440-nucleotide ribosomal RNA is filed under the name uncultured bacterium. Its description in RNAcentral is "partial 16S ribosomal RNA". It matches the Rfam family "Bacterial small subunit ribosomal RNA", at positions 338 to 795 of the family's 1533-position model. The record is from RNAcentral.